This 207-nucleotide ribosomal RNA is filed under the name uncultured Anaerolineaceae bacterium. Its description in RNAcentral is "partial 16S ribosomal RNA". It matches the Rfam family "Bacterial small subunit ribosomal RNA", at positions 568 to 774 of the family's 1533-position model. Lineage: Bacteria; Bacillati; Chloroflexota; Anaerolineae; Anaerolineales; Anaerolineaceae. The record is from RNAcentral.
UGUGUAGGCGGUUUGGAAAGUUGGAUGUGAAAGCUCCUGGCUUAACUGGGAGAGGUCGUUCAAUACUACCAGACUAGAGGAUGAGAGAGGAAAGUGGAAUUCCGAGUGUAGUGGUGAAAUGCGUAGAUAUUCGGAGGAACACCAGUGGCGAAAGCGACUUUCUGGCUCAUUUCUGACGCUCAGACACGAAAGCUAGGGUAGCAAACG